Molecule: ribosomal RNA, 265 nt
Filed under: uncultured archaeon
Lineage: Archaea
Description: partial 16S ribosomal RNA
Rfam family: Archaeal small subunit ribosomal RNA
Source: RNAcentral
ACACGACUACAUUAGAUACCCGUGUAGUCCUAGCCGUAAACGAUACUCGCUGGGUGUCGGCCACGGUGCGACCGUUGUCGGUGCCGUAGGGAAGCCGUGAAGCGAGCCACCUGGGAAGUACGGCCGCAAGGCUGAAACUUAAAGGAAUUGGCGGGGGAGCACAACAACGGGUGGAGCUUGCGGUUUAAUUGGAUUCAACGCCGGAAAUCUUACCGGGACCGACAGCAACAUGAAGGCCAAGCUGAAGACUUUGCCGGAUUAGCUG